This 265-nucleotide ribosomal RNA is filed under the name uncultured Stenotrophomonas sp. Its description in RNAcentral is "partial 16S ribosomal RNA". It matches the Rfam family "Bacterial small subunit ribosomal RNA", at positions 86 to 350 of the family's 1533-position model. The record is from RNAcentral. Lineage: Bacteria; Pseudomonadati; Pseudomonadota; Gammaproteobacteria; Lysobacterales; Lysobacteraceae.
GGGUGGCGAGUGGCGGACGGGUGAGGAAUACAUCGGAAUCUACUCUGUCGUGGGGGAGUAACGUAGGGAAACUUAACGCUAAUACCGCAUACGACCUACGGGUGAAAGCAGGGGAUCUUCGGACCUUGCGCGAUUGAAUGAGCCGAUGUCGGAUUAGCUAGUUGGCGGGGUAAAGGCCCACCAAGGCGACGAUCCGUAGCUGGUCUGAGAGGAUGAUCAGCCACACUGGAACUGAGACACGGUCCAGACUCCUACGGGAGGCAAG